Long non-coding RNA from Mesocricetus auratus (golden hamster), 541 nucleotides. RefSeq lists it as uncharacterized. The record is from RefSeq and is a predicted model, not a curated record. Lineage: Eukaryota; Metazoa; Chordata; Mammalia; Rodentia; Cricetidae. The transcript is spliced from 2 exons.
CAAACAUCCGCAGCCCCUGGACAGCAAGUCCUUCUCUCUUACAGGGCCAAGGAAUUUUGGCUCCUCGGGGAAUUUGUGACAGCCCACCCUCCUUGAGUUGUUUUUCUUCCCUUGAAGACUGAGGAGAAAGAACCCGUGUAUCCCGAAGGCAUGCGUGUUUGAUUAUUUUGAAAAAGAAGACACAGAUAACCAAGAAGAAAAAUGAAACACCUAUGCAGCCCAGAGCUCAGCUUCUGAGAGCCAUUAUCCACUGAAGGCAACCAGGCCCCUUGGAGAAAUGGCUGAUAAGUCUGGAAUGUCGAGCUAUGCCAAAGAAAUGUGAGAAGCAGAGAGGAAAAUGAUUAUGAAGCAUUUCAAAACGGCACAGAAGCCAGCUUGACAGGAACCCCAGGGCCAAACCUAGACCAGCUUCGAGCAUGGAGAUAUAUUUAGAUGACAAUGAGUUAUGGCCUGUUGUGUUAAAAUAACAUUCUGGAGUCUGUUUUAGAAAUAAACCAAGCUGCGUGGGGAUUUUUCUUAUAACUAAUAAACAUAGAAGCAA